GCAGACCCAUUCCAGCCAAUCAGUAGCAGACCCUCCCUCCCAGACUCUCCCACCUCCUGGACAGCAUCCAUUUUACAUUCAUUGUGAAGCUGCAUUCUUAGUGAGCUGUCCAGGAGGUGGAAGGGUCUGGGAGGGAGGGUCUGCUGCUGAUUGGCUGGAAUGGGUCUG
Molecule: microRNA precursor, 168 nt
Filed under: Pelobates cultripes (western spadefoot toad)
Lineage: Eukaryota; Metazoa; Chordata; Amphibia; Anura; Pelobatidae
Source: RNAcentral